AUCGUGCGGGAAGAGGAUGUUGUGAAGCCGGCGAACUUGCCGGGGCGAACAAAAACCCCCCUGCCAGGGGAAACUCAUGCCCGGAGCGUGCCAGGAGCGGCGGGGGCAUGGCAGGAGAAGAGACGGCGGCACGGGGGUGCCAAGCGGGCGAGUGCCUGGAUGAGCCCAAUGGAGAGCGCCGUGCCUCAGUUUCCCCACCUGCGAACAGCAGCGGUGCUCUGUUACCUGCAGAAACCAAUCAAAGCCCCGUGACAGGUAUUUGAAAAGGAGCUGAGCUCAAUCCUAUCAAACCUCCGCGGGUCCUGGGACAAGCCAGACUUUAAGGAGUCGGAGUCCGAGCGAGUUUCACAAGAAAACAAACAGAAAUGCUUC
This is a long non-coding RNA of Melospiza melodia melodia, 372 nucleotides long. RefSeq lists it as uncharacterized. Lineage: Eukaryota; Metazoa; Chordata; Aves; Passeriformes; Passerellidae. The record is from RefSeq and is a predicted model, not a curated record. The transcript is spliced from 3 exons.